RNAcentral lists this ribosomal RNA (253 nucleotides) under uncultured bacterium. RNAcentral describes it as "partial 16S ribosomal RNA". It matches the Rfam family "Bacterial small subunit ribosomal RNA", at positions 524 to 776 of the family's 1533-position model. The record is from RNAcentral.
UACGGGGGGAGCAAGCGUUGUUCGGAUUUACUGGGCGUAAAGGGCGCGUAGGCGGCGCCGCAGGUCGACUGUGAAAUCUCCGGGCUUAACCCGGAAAGGUCAGCCGAUACUGCGGGGCUAGAGUGCAGAAGGGGCAACUGGAAUUCUCGGUGUAGCGGUGAAAUGCGUAGAUAUCGAGAGGAACACCUGCGGCGAAGGCGGGUUGCUGGGCUGACACUGACGCUGAUGCGCGAAAGCUAGGGGAGCGAACGGG